GCUGGGCAUGAUGGCACAUGCCUGUAGUCCUAGCUACUUGGGAAGCUGAGGUGGGAGGAUUGCUUGAGCCCAGGAGGUUGUAGUUAUAGUGAGCUAUGAUCAUGCCACUGCAGUCCAGCCUGGACAACAGAGUGAGACCCUGUCUCUU
Molecule: non-coding RNA, 148 nt
Filed under: Homo sapiens (human)
Lineage: Eukaryota; Metazoa; Chordata; Mammalia; Primates; Hominidae
Source: Rfam by way of RNAcentral